This 836-nucleotide ribosomal RNA is filed under the name Kitasatospora sp. IM-8074. RNAcentral's name for it is "bacterial SSU rRNA". It matches the Rfam family "Bacterial small subunit ribosomal RNA", at positions 38 to 889 of the family's 1533-position model. The record is from RNAcentral. Lineage: Bacteria; Bacillati; Actinomycetota; Actinomycetes; Kitasatosporales; Streptomycetaceae.
GGCGGCGUGCUUAACACAUGCAAGUCGAACGGUGAAGCCCUUCGGGGUGGAUCAGUGGCGAACGGGUGAGUAACACGUGGGCAAUCUGCCCUGCACUCUGGGACAAGCCCUGGAAACGGGGUCUAAUACCGGAUAUGACCUGGGACCGCAUGGUUCUGGGUGUAAAGCUCCGGCGGUGCAGGAUGAGCCCGCGGCCUAUCAGCUUGUUGGUGGGGUAAUGGCCUACCAAGGCGACGACGGGUAGCCGGCCUGAGAGGGCGACCGGCCACACUGGGACUGAGACACAGCCCAGACUCCUACGGGAGGCAGCAGUGGGGAAUAUUGCACAAUGGGCGAAAGCCUGAUGCAGCGACGCCGCGUGAGGGAUGACGGCCUUCGGGUUGUAAACCUCUUUCAGCAGGGAAGAAGCGCAAGUGACGGUACCUGCAGAAGAAGCACCGGCUAACUACGUGCCAGCAGCCGCGGUAAUACGUAGGGUGCGAGCGUUGUCCGGAAUUAUUGGGCGUAAAGAGCUCGUAGGCGGCCUGUCGCGUCGGAUGUGAAAGCCCGGGGCUUAACCCCGGGUCUGCAUUCGAUACGGGCAGGCUAGAGUGUGGUAGGGGAGAUCGGAAUUCCUGGUGUAGCGGUGAAAUGCGCAGAUAUCAGGAGGAACACCGGUGGCGAAGGCGGAUCUCUGGGCCAUUACUGACGCUGAGGAGCGAAAGCGUGGGGAGCGAACAGGAUUAGAUACCCUGGUAGUCCACGCCGUAAACGUUGGGAACUAGGUGUUGGCGACAUUCCACGUCGUCGGUGCCGCAGCUAACGCAUUAAGUUCCCCGCCUGGGGAGUACGGCCGC